GAUGAACGCUAGCUACAGGCUUAACACAUGCAAGUCGCGGGGCAGCAUUUCCUUAGCUUGCUAAGGAAGAUGGCGACCGGCGCACGGGUGAGUAACGCGUAUCCAACCUUCCCAUGUCCACGGGAUAGCCCGUCGAAAGGCGGAUUAAUACCGUAUGAGGUCACAUGCGGGCAUCUAAGUGUGACGAAAGGUUUAGCGGACAUGGAUGGCGAUGCGUCCCAUUAGUUAGUUGGCGGGGUAACGGCCCACCAAGACGACGAUGGGUAGGGGUUCUGAGAGGAAGGUCCCCCACAUUGGAACUGAGACACGGUCCAAACUCCUACGGGAGGCAGCAGUGAGGAAUAUUGGUCAAUGGGCGGAAGCCUGAACCAGCCAAGUAGCGUGCAGGAAGACGGCCCUAUGGGUUGUAAACUGCUUUCAGUCGGGAAUAAUUCGUCGGUCGUGACCGACGUUGCAGGUACCGUCAUAAGAAGGACCGGCUAAUUCCGUG
RNAcentral lists this ribosomal RNA (490 nucleotides) under uncultured bacterium. Its description in RNAcentral is "bacterial SSU rRNA". It matches the Rfam family "Bacterial small subunit ribosomal RNA", at positions 28 to 507 of the family's 1533-position model. The record is from RNAcentral.